This 492-nucleotide ribosomal RNA is filed under the name uncultured bacterium. RNAcentral's name for it is "partial 16S ribosomal RNA". It matches the Rfam family "Bacterial small subunit ribosomal RNA", at positions 29 to 507 of the family's 1533-position model. The record is from RNAcentral.
AGUGAACGCUGGCGGUAGGCCUAACACAUGCAAGUCGAACGGCAGCACAGUAAGAGCUUGCUCUUACGGGUGGCGAGUGGCGGACGGGUGAGGAAUACAUCGGAAUCUACUUUUUCGUCGGGGAUAACGUAGGGAAACUUACGCUAAUACCGCAUACGACCUACGGGUGAAAGCAGGGGAUCUUCGGACCUUGCGCGAUUGAAUGAGCCGAUGUCGGAUUAGCUAGUUGGCUGGGUAAAGGCCCACCAAGGCGACGAUCCGUAGCUGGUCUGAGAGGAUGAUCAGCCACACUGGAACUGAGACACGGUCCAGACUCCUACGGGAGGCAGCAGUGGGGAAUAUUGGACAAUGGGCGCAAGCCGGAUCCAGCCAUACCGCGUGGGUGAAGAAGGCCUUCGGGUUGUAAAGCCCUUUUGUUGGGAAAGAAAAGCAGCAGGUUAAUACCCCGCUGUUCUGACGGUACCCAAAGAAUAAGCACCGGCUAACUUCGUG